AGACAGUCGCGUCAUCCCUUCGGGGGUGCCGAGGAAAGUCCGGGCUCCAUAGGGCGGAGUGCCAGGUAAUGCCUGGGGGGCGUGAGCCUACGGAAAGUGCCACAGAAAAUAACCGCCUAAGCGCUUCGGCGCCGGUAAGGGUGAAAAGGUGCGGUAAGAGCGCACCGCACGUCUGGUAACAGUUCGUGGCUAGGUAAACCCCACUCGGAGCAAGACCAAAUAGGGUUCCAAGGCGUGGCCCGCGCUGGAACCGGGUAGGUUGCU
Molecule: ribozyme, 264 nt
Filed under: Chaetoceros curvisetus
Lineage: Eukaryota; Bacillariophyta; Thalassiosirophyceae; Chaetocerotales; Chaetocerotaceae
Description: partial Bacterial RNase P class A
Rfam family: Bacterial RNase P class A
About the family: Ribonuclease P (RNase P) is a ubiquitous endoribonuclease, found in archaea, bacteria and eukarya as well as chloroplasts and mitochondria. Its best characterised activity is the generation of mature 5'-ends of tRNAs by cleaving the 5'-leader elements of precursor-tRNAs.
Source: RNAcentral